UGAGGAAUAUUGGACAAUGGGCGGGAGCCUGAUCCAGCCAUGCCGCGUGCAGGAAGACGGCCUUAUGGGUUGUAAACUGCUUUUACAGGGGAAGAACACCACGCAUUGAUGGGUGGCUGCCGGUACCCUGGGAAAAAGGACCGGCUAACUCCGUGCCAGCAGCCGCGGUAAUACGGAGGGUCCGAGCGUUAUCCGGAAUCAUUGGGUUUAAAGGGUCCGCAGGCGGGCAAUUAAGUCAGUGGUGAAAGUCACCUGCUCAACGGGUGAUGUGCCAUUGAAACUGGUAGUCUGGAGUAUCGGGGAAGUGGCCGGAAUGAGUAGUGUAGCGGUGAAAUGCAUAGAUAUUACUCAGAACACCGAUAGCGAAGGCAGGCCACUACCGGAUAACUGACGCUGAUGGACGAAAGCGUGGAUAGCGAACAGGAUUAGAUACCCCCGUAGUCC
This 444-nucleotide ribosomal RNA is filed under the name uncultured prokaryote. RNAcentral describes it as "bacterial SSU rRNA". It matches the Rfam family "Bacterial small subunit ribosomal RNA", at positions 355 to 796 of the family's 1533-position model. The record is from RNAcentral.